This 253-nucleotide ribosomal RNA is filed under the name uncultured bacterium. RNAcentral's name for it is "partial 16S ribosomal RNA". It matches the Rfam family "Bacterial small subunit ribosomal RNA", at positions 524 to 776 of the family's 1533-position model. The record is from RNAcentral.
UACAGAGGGGGCAAGCGUUGUUCGGAAUUACUGGGCGUAAAGGGCGCGUAGGUGGCCUUCUAAGUUGAACGUGAAAUCCCUGGGCUCAACCCAGGAACUGCGUCCAAGACUGGGAGGCUUGAAUCCGGGAGAGGGAUGCGGAAUUCCAGGUGUAGCGGUGAAAUGCGCAGAUAUCAGGAGGAACACCGGUGGCGAAGGCGGAUCUCUGGGCCUUACCUGACGCUGAGGCGCGAAAGCUAGGGGAGCGAACAGG